AAGCCCCGCCUCCUCCAUUUCCGAGGCUGUUUCUGGGGCCUCUGACAGACCUCAGCGUGUGAUGGGCUCCCGGCGUCGCACUGUGAGAGACCGAAGUCUGCAAGAUUUCAACAAAAUCCAAGAUUCUUCCAGGAACAACAGCAAAACCACUCUCAAUGCAUUUGAAGAAAUAGAGGGCUGUCUUCCUUUCUCUGCCAUCGUGGUGUGUUCUUGACUCCGCUUCUCGCCAUGUCUUCUCACAAGACUUUCAGGAUUAAGCGAUUCCUGGCUGAGAAACAAAAGCAAAAUCGUCCCAUUCCCCAGUGGAUUCGGAUGAAAACUGGAAAUAAAAUCAGGUACAACUCCAAAAGGAGACAUUGGAGAAGAACCAAGCUGGGUCUGUAAGGAAUUGCACAUGAGAUGGCACACAUAUUUAUGCUGUCUGAAGGUCACGAUCAUGUUACCGUAUCAAGCUGCAAAUGUCACCACUAUCUGGAGAUUUCGACGUGUUUUCCUCUCUGAAUCUGUUAUGAACACGUUGGUUGGCUGGGUUCAGUAAUAAAUAUGUGAGGCCUUUCGUUUUAAAAAAAAAAAAAAAAAAAGAAAAAGAAAUAGAGGAGUUCCCGGAAACGUCGGUGUAGAAGCAGAACCCAGAGCUGGUGUGCGCGUGCGCUGUCUGGCGCUGCAGGCGGAGUCACCGACUCUGUGCAGAGAGGAUUCGAGGGAUGAUGGAGUCUGGCUCUGCUGGCCUAGAAGCAGAGUGCACCCUCAUGCUCAGUGCUCAGUGGGUGUCUGAACUGAGGGGCAGUUGUCAGUUUGUCUGAGUGGGAAACAUCCUGGAUUUUGUUACUUGGCAAAGAGUUGGUGUAAACCUACAGCCAGCAGCAGUCUGGAGCCUGGGAGCCUCCUGAAGUCCUGGGUGAAGCCUCUGGUUUUACCAAUUGCAGGUCGGCUUGGCUGGGAGAGAUGGGUGGCGGGGAAGGGGCAGGAACCUUGAGGAGGAGGGAGAGGAGUCUUUCCUCCUACAGCUUCCCCCUGUCAGCCCCAACCCCAGCCCACACAUUGUACCAUCUCUCCUGCUGUGACUGGGUUGCCUGAAUUUGUGGGAGACCCUUGAUUCCAUCCCAGAGUGUGCGGGGGACGGAGCUGAAGGGGAAGCUUGUGAGAGAGAAGCAUCUGCCAAGACUUCGAGCUUAUUUUUAUGUCCUCAUCCUCUGAUGUUCUCCUUCUGAAAUGACACGGAGUCAGUCUGGGGGGCAGAGGUGAAGUGGAGACGGAAGGAUUUUCCAGGUGACCGGGGCCAAAACCACCAGAACAUCCACUCUGCCGCCACUGUCUGGUGAAAGGAUUCAUGUAAAAAUGUUCGAGGUGGAAUUAUAAAAAUAGUAACCAUAAGUGUUAAUCUUAAAUAGCAGAAAUAGAAACUUGGCCUUCAGAUAACAUGGCGAUUGAUUAGUUCAUCUGGCUUGAGGCAAACUGAGGAGUCCGGGCCUAGCAGUGCCCUCUGGGCCGGUUUCUCUGCCCUGGGCCACUCUGUGUGCCAGACUAGCUGGACAGAUAGAGACUCUGUGCCCCUGAUGGGGCUGGCUGGGGAGAGGUGGGCUGGGGUGUGUGAGGCUUCACCAUCCACAGCAGCCCCUGCCCUCCCAGCUGACCCAGGGAGUAACCGCACGCUCUAAGCCACAGUGGUCGGGGCUGGGCGUGGACCGCUGGAGAAGAGAAGAUUUGAGGGGGACUGUCCUAGAGGCAGGAGGAGCGGAUGUGUUCCAGAAUGGGCAGAACUAGGAAACUGAGAAAGAUUUUGGCUCAAUAGAAUCCAGCAACUGCUCCACAUGUUGGAGAUGUGUAAGCAGAAGCUGGUCGAGCACUUAAUGAGGAAUGUUGUUGAAAAUGAUCAUUGGAAGAAGUUUAAGAUCUCUUUUAGCCUGGAGAUUGUACAAAUCAGCAUUCCACAUCUGGAGUUAGCGACCCGCAUUAAGCCUGAACAGACAUCUUGGUCUGAAAGGAAGUGGUUUGGAUUCAUGACGCCACGCUCUACACUAUGGAGCUGGGAAUUCCAGAAUUGCUUUGACUCAGAUAUUAAUGGAGAAAGUUAUAUCCAUUAGUGGAUAAAGCCAUAUCUGUUAUGGAUAAAGCCAUAUCCAGAACUGCUUUGACUCAGAUGUGAAUGGAUAAAGCCAAUUAUUGAUUUCUAUUUGCCUAACCUGCCAGCUUUUGUCCCAGCGGCGAAUGGAGAGCCACACGGAUGUUUGUCGUCUCCCACGUUUUGGUGAUCUGCUGUCUGUGGGUCUCGAUGGAAUUUGUUGGCAAGACCGUUUUCUGUAUUGGAUAUUCUUCCCAACAGUGUCCACCCCAAAAGGCUUUCAGCCGAAAGGUCUGAGCCUAGGUAGGUUUACCAAGGGAAGCCAUGAGUCAAGAAGCAUCAGAGUGAAAAGGAUCACUUCCUUUAUUUUACCCGCAGGGGCUAAUGCUCCGAGAGGAAUGUGUACUUGGGCAAGGUCAUACAGGAAGGUCAUAUCAGAGCUGUGCAGGCUGGAGUGUCCUGAUUCUUGGACCACAGAUGUCUCCCUGAGCCAUUAUUUAUUUAUUUUUGAAAAGCACAGUUAUUCCAUCAUUUUGAGUCUUUCUUUGUAGUUGGCUUACAUUGGGGGGCAGGACUGUUUUCUCAGGUGUCUCAUUUGGCAGUCAGCAUUGUCCCCUAUGUUCCCUAUGACUAGCUGAAAAUUCAAGUGUGCCCAUAGGGGUGCACAAAACCACACCCACACCCACACCCCCACACACAUACCCACACCCCAUUAAACCCAUGGGUCUAUCAGGACAUCUUAAAACUCCGUGAUUGGCCGGGCGCGGUGGCUCACGCUUGUAAUCCCAGCACUUUGGGAGGCCGAGGCAGGCAGAUCACGAGGUCAGGAGAUCGAGACCACGGUGAAACCCUGUCUCUACUAAAAAAAAAAAAUACAAAAAAAUUAGCCGGGCGUGGUGGCGGGCGCCUGUAGUCCCAGCUACUCGGAGAGGCUGAGGCAGGAGAAUGGCGUGAACCUGGGAGGCGGAGCUUGCAGUGAGCCGAGAUUGCGCUACUGCACUCCAGCCUGGGCGACAGAGCGAGACUCUGUCUCAAAAAAAAAAGAAAAAAAAGAAAAAAACAGACAACCCCAUCAAAAAGCAGGCAAAGGAUAUGAACAGACACUUCUCAAAAGAAGACAUUUAUGUGGCCAACAAACGUGAAAAAAAGCUCAUCAUCACUGGUCAUUAGAGAAAUGCAAAUCAAAACCACAGUGAGAUACCAUCUCACGCCAGUCAGAAUGGUGAUUAUUAAAAAGUCAGGAAACAACAGAUGCUGGCGAGGCUGUGGAGAAAUAGGAACACUUUUACACUGUUGGUGGGAAUGCAAACUAGUUCAACCAUUGCGGAAGACAGUAUGGCGAUUCCUCAAAGAUCCAGAAGCAGAAAUACCAUUUGACCCAGCAAUCCCAUUACUGAGUAUACACCCAAAGGAAUGUAAAUCAUUCUACUAUAAAGACACAUGCACACAUGUUUAUUGCAGCACUAUUUACAAUAGCAAAGACAUGGAACCAACCCAAAUGCCCAUCAAUGAAAGACUGGAUAAAGAAAAUAUGGCAUAUCUACACCAUGGACUACUACAUAGCCAUAAAAAGGAAAGAGAUCACGCCCUUUGCAGGAACAUGGAUGAAGCUGGAAGCCAUCAUCCUCAGCAAACUAACACAGGAACAGAAAACCAAACACCACAUGUUCUCACUCAUAAGUGGAGUUGAACAUUGAGAACAUAUGGACACAGAGAGGGGAACAACAAACACCAGGGCCUGUUGGGGGGUAGGGGGUGAGGGGAGGGAACUUAGAGGAUGGAUCAAUAGGUGCAGCAAAACACCAUGGCACACGUAUACCUAUGUAACAAACCUGCAUGUUCUGUACCCGUAUCCCCCCCCUUUUCUUGGAAGAAAUAAAAAAAUAAGAGGGCUCUAUCCAUCAUGGCUGUUGGCUGUCAAAUUAUUUUGAGUGAAUAGAAACCCAUGGUUCCACCUGGAGAACAGAGGGUAUAAAUCCCUCCUGUCCACCACACAGGAUUUUCAGGAGGAGGCACUGACAGAAUGGAUAGGAAAGAGCUGACGUUGUUACUAUCAUUAUUACCGAUCAGCCUAACUCAUAGGUAUAUGCAGUUCUUCAUUCCUUUGAGUUAUUUCAUAAGGAUGGCUGUUCUCAACUUGAACGCCAAGUCUUGAAUGCUUGUCUUGAUGGGUUGUGGAACUUGCAACCGAUUUGUUAAUAAGUGAAAUACUGCAUUUGGUGAAUUAUUUACUUAAUUCAGAUGAUUCCCAGAAUAACUUCCUUCACUGGGAUGUAUCUUGUUGAGUGGCAACAAAACAAGGAUUGUACGUGAUUCCCAUCCUAGCUUAAUAGGCGUUAGUCCAAAACCCAGGAAUGUGCCAUCCGUGGGGAUGUUUUGGGUGGAUGGGUAGAAAAAGGGUGGAAACCCUUGUCAUAGGAUAUAUUUCUGGGAAGGAGAUGCCUAGGUCAAUAGGUUUCAACAUUUUUAUGGUUCUUGAUACUGUGAAAAAUUACCUCCCCAAAGGAUUCCAUCAAUGUGUUCAGCCUUUGAGAUUGUAUGCUACACCGUUUACAGAGCUCUUUCGGUCAUGUUGGUUAUUGUUUUGUAGGUUUGGUGAGUGUCGUACCCCAGUUUAACAGGUAGGGAGAUCGAGACUUGGAGACAGACGGAAUGACAUGUGAAGUUCACAAUCCUUUUUCCUGGCCGGAGGAUCCAGGUUCUCUGAAGCUUAGUUAGUCUAGUAUCAAGAACUACCAUUUUUCUCACUGCACCAGCACCCCCUCUGACAGUAACAGCAAAGUUCUGCAGAAAGGAUUCAGUCCAACUCAAAAAAUGUAUCUCACCUGCUAUGUGUGAAGAUUUAGAACCAAUUCAACGACAAUUGAACAUGAAGUACGGGCAAUGACAGAUGAUACAAAUAUAAGAAUUUCUUCCACUUAAGAUGGUGGUAGGAGGGGAGAGGGACGUGAAUAUUUAUAAAGUUCCGUGCACUUUACAUACAUGUCUGAUUUAAUGUUUAUAGCAACCCUUGUUACUGUCCAGCUGUUCUCUUUCAUUGGUUUUGUUUUAUUUUUUAAAACCAUCAUAUUUUGUUAUUUCAAAACCAUCAUACUUCUUAAACCUGUGACCCCACCGCUUCCGUAUCAAUAGCUGUUGUUGGUUUUAUCCCAUUUUACAGUGAAAAUGGAAGCCGUAGGUUGGAAACACCUUCAACUUCUGACCACCAAACCAGUGAAUUUAUUUGCACCCACAUUCCUAAGUUUGGUUGCCUUCCCCUUCCUCCCUCCCUCCCUCCGUCCCUCCCCUCCCUCCCUCCCUCCCUCCCCUCCCUCCCUCCCCUCCCUUCCUCCCUCCCUCCCUCACUCCCCCCCUCCCCUCGCUUCCUCCCUCCCUCCCUCCCUCCCUCCCCUCCCUUCCUCCUUCCCUCCAGGGUUGCCUGUUGAAUGUUGUUAGGAAUCUAAGUACUGAAGGGAAACUGCCUGGGUUUGAAUUUUGUUCUGUCCCUUGCACCCUGCCUGGCUUCAAAUCCUAGCUCUGCUUAUUCAGUUCUUUUAAGGGGAUGAUAUUUGAGCAAAUGUAUUAGCUUCUGUUUUCCCAAGUAAAUGGACACAAUAGUUGCUACCUUGUGAAAGAGUCAUGUAAUUGACCAGCAUUUACCAAGUAGCAUCAGUGUUCAGUUUCAGUCAUUGGUGAUUCUGCAGUUGGACUGUGAGGGGGUGUUGGGGUGGGGGGUGGUGUGUGUGUGUAGCACUUCAUUGCGUGGAGAAAGGAAAAGAUACUUUUGAUAACUGACAGGCAGCUUUUCUCUGCUUUCGUGUCAAAAGGGAAGAAGGGAGUUUGGAGAGGGAAAGGAAUUCUCUGUAACACUAAGCUCUCUUCCACAAAAACAGAGGUACAGAAUAUGUAAUAAUUUACAGAAUUUCUAGACUUCAAGGAUCUGAUUUUUUUAAAUUUACUUUUAAUUUUUCAGGUUGAGACUGAGCUAAAGUUAAUCUGCGGCGACGUUCUGGAUGUACUGGACAAACACCUCAUUCCAGCAGCUACCACUGGCAAGUCCAAGGUUUUCUAUUACGAAAUGUAGGUUCUAUACUAACAAUUAACAAGUGUACUUCAAUACAUUUAAACAUUCUCAGGAAUAAUUGGCUUUGUUUCUUUUUUUUCUUAGGCAUUUAAUAUUAUUUUCCUUAUUAAAUAUAACCAAAAAUCCCACAGAAAUUAACAAGAGGAGGAGCCUCUAAAUAUCAACAAAAUUAUCACUUGAUAGACUAGAAUUAAACAAGCAAAUGAUUCUAAGAAAUGGCACAAGUGUAUUCAUCAUAAAAUAAAAUUUCUACAUGAAACAUUCA
Molecule: RNA transcript, 6390 nt
Organism: Symphalangus syndactylus (siamang)
Lineage: Eukaryota; Metazoa; Chordata; Mammalia; Primates; Hylobatidae
Gene name: large ribosomal subunit protein eL39-like
Source: RefSeq, a predicted model, not a curated record